RNAcentral lists this long non-coding RNA (457 nucleotides) under Homo sapiens (human). Its description in RNAcentral is "WIPF1 and CHRNA1 antisense RNA 1 (WIPF1-AS1)". Lineage: Eukaryota; Metazoa; Chordata; Mammalia; Primates; Hominidae. The record is from RNAcentral.
CUCAGCUUCGGCAUUCCAGCCUGGAACAAUCCUCCCAGACCUGGAGGUCCGCCCCCUCCAAAACUUCCACCGCCUCCGCCACCACCUCCUCCGCCAAAUCCGCCGCCUCCACCAAAGCCACCACCACCGCCUCCAGCACCAGCUCCUUUAGGUUCUGUAGAAGAAGAGACACCCGACAGACUAUGCCCCCUGGUCUGGCCCAGAAAUGGACUGGAGAAGCUAAAAAAGACACUGCUGGACUUGUCACAGCCGCCGGGAAACAAGAAUUAAGACAGUUCGGAAGAGUCCCAUUCAAAGUGGGCGGUCUAGAAAAUGAAAAUUUUAAAUUCCACAGCAGCAACAGCAGCUCUCAUGUAUGGAGAAUCUGCUGGAUCCAGGGCUCUAUCCUUGCGUGGUCUCUGACUCCUAAGACAGCGGAAGCCAGCAUCGCUGUGCUCAUUUGAUAGACUCAGAGAAA